GUAGUUUCUUGUGUUUUCUUCACUUUGCACAUGAGAAAAUUGAGGGUUAAUGAGAUUAAUUUUUUUAAAUCUCCAGAGCCCAGGUUCUUAAUCUUUAUUUUAAAUAGUCAAUAGACUAUAUUUUAAAAAGUCAACAAUAUAAUUGAGUUGCACAAAGCCAGUAUAUUCUUCAAUUGCCUUAACAGUAGUGUUCAGACAACAAAUUCUACCUCAUGCUAAUAAGACACAUCCGAGGAAUAUUGCCAAAUAAGGGAAGUUGCAAUUCAAGAAGGACAGAAGCAAACAGGAAUUCAUCUAGGGGAACAUGACAAGUAUGGUAGGAACCUGGAAAACACCUCAACUAAGUGAUACUUAACCCUACAUGAACAUUCCAGAACUCUGAGGAAUCCCCAAAUAGAUGAGAAUUGCUGCCAAGAAGCUUGGAGUUGAACAAGAUGUUUCACUACAGUAUAUAGCAAAUUUCCUUACAAAUUUUGAGGUGAUCUAAUCUUGGGAGAAGAGAAAAGGAAGGCAAGUAGCAACUUUUAUAAAAGUUAAGUAGUAUCAUUUUUUUUGGUACGGGGGAUCGAACUUGGGACCUUGUGCUUGCAAGGCAGGCGCCGGAACCACUGAGCUAAAUCCCCUGCCCUAGUAUAAUUUUUUUUUAAAAAGCAAGCAAAGCAAUAUUUUACUGGAUAGAAGUUUGUAUAAUUUCUGAUUUUAGGUGAAUUCUGCUCCAUAUAGAAAGCAAGGCAAUUGAGCCUAUAAUAUUAGGUUCCUUUUCUUUGAGAAGGCCUGAGGGAGAAAGAAGCCAAUGAGAAAAGUUCUUGCCUUUGACACAGUGAUUCUUGUAGGCUGAGUGAACAAGUACACACCUUAAGCUCAUGGGCAGGAAAAGUGAAGGAAUGUUCUAAGAGCUAAACAUCAGUUUCUGAGAAUAAAUAUGGUUGACUCAUUCUUAUAUUUUGGAUGAAGUCUUGGAAACAAACCAAAUUCUUUUGACUUUCUCUAAUCCUUUGCUUGGAACCUGCCCAGAACCACGUAAGAGAAUGACUAAUCUGCAUCUGGUAGACACAUAGACUAUGAGAAACCUGCUUGGACUAAGAUGGAACCCUAAUGUGACUUGUAUGAACCGUGACUUAGAAAAUAGAGCAUUGGUUUGGAAAACAGUCCAGUAGUUCCUCCAGGGGUGAAACACUGUUGCCGUUCAACCUACCAAUUGGACACCUAGGGACCUGCCUUCUUUUUGUCCACUUCACCUGACAACUUUCAUUAGUCCAGUAAAUGAAUUAAAGAAGAGAAAUAAAUUGUUUCAUGUUCUUAAAGCAAGGGUCAUCCAGAAUCUACUAAUUAUACUGAACUCUGUUUUUUGUCUCUGCUUCUUCUUUUACACUUACAUAUCUAUUUUUACAAGUAUAUUAAUAAAUACCACUUUUGUACUAAAAUAACAUUUUAUCUGAUUAAGAAUAAUAUCUAGUGUUGAUUAGUAAAAAUACAGGAAAAAUUCAUAAACCUAGUAUCCAAAAUGAACCACUGUUAAUAUUUUGUUACUUUAUUCUUUUGCUCAGGGUGUAUUUGCAUAGAUCUACA
Long non-coding RNA from Heterocephalus glaber (naked mole-rat), 1569 nucleotides. The record is from Ensembl. Lineage: Eukaryota; Metazoa; Chordata; Mammalia; Rodentia; Bathyergidae.